CAUGGAUCACUUGCGUCAACAACUCCUUGAGACUACAGUGGUCUGUUAGUAUGGUGAAGCGGUGGCCAAGCAGAUACUGACACCAUUUUUUAACAGCGGUCGUAAUCACAAAUAGUUCGCGAACAUACAUAGAAGCACCGAGCAAUUUAGAAGGGAAUGAUUUGCUGAAGUAUGCAAUAGGGUGACUAUGUUAAGAUAGAACCGCACCCAUGGCUAUACCCGAUGCGUCGGUCUCCUCCGUAAAAAGAAGUGUGAAAUCAGGCAGGUGAAUGAUUGGAGCCAAAGUGAGAACCUCCUUGAGGUGAGUGAAGGCUGACUGAGCUUCCAAAGUCCAUUCGAAUGGUUCUAUGGUCAGCAAUUUAUUCAGGGGUGCCACAAUCAUAGCGUACCUUCGAAUGAAUCUGUGAUAAAAACCUGCUAGGCCCAAGAAGCUACGCAGGGCUCCCGCAAAAUGAGGGUGAGGCCAUUGUUGAAUGUCUUGAACUUUGGUCAGCACUGGUUCGAUCCCUCGCGAUGAGACCACAUGGCCUAGGAUUUGACUUGGUUCUGGGCGAAGGUGCAUUUUGAAAGCUUCAAGACAAAUUGUUCCUCCAAAAAAACUCGAAAUUAUUUCUCCAAGUGAAGUAAAUGAUCCUCCAAUGUUGGACUUUAUAUGAGAAUGUCGUCAAAGAAGAUGAUGAUAAAAUGACAGAGAAAUGGUCAAAAAAUGGUGUUCAUCGUGGCCUGGAGUGAAGAAGGUGCGUUACACAGCCCAAAUGGCAUCACCCUAAACUCAUAGUGGCCAUGGUGUGUGCGAAAAGCAGUUUUGCAAACAUCUUCUUCAUGCAUUAGAAUCUGAUGAUAACCUUGCAACAAAUCCAAUUUAGGAAACCAACAUAAUUCUCCUAACUCAUCCAAGAGUUCAUCAAUUGUGGGGAUAGGAAAAAUGAUCCUUGAUCGUGAGUGCAUUCAACGCCCUAUAAUCAAUACAGAACCUCCAUGUGUCAUCAUGUUUAUGAAAUAGAAGAACAGGGGAGGAAAAAUGGCUCGUAUUGGGUCAAAUUUGGAUUUCAAGGGCUAGAACCUCUACAAGGAAGAAGAAUAGAAAAGGUAAAAUAUUAUAUUCAUGUCCUGCCUUAUUACAAUUGAUGAGUAUUUAUAAUGAAAAUGCAAUAACAAAAUUUGGAAUUCUAUGGUGACAAGGUCCUAACGGAAAGGUGGGAAUAUUCCUAAUGGCAGACAAGAUCAAGGAAGCUGUCUCCCCAUGCAGCCAUCUCAGCAAAAACAGUUACACAAAAUCGUUGAG
Molecule: long non-coding RNA, 1285 nt
Filed under: Glycine max (soybean)
Lineage: Eukaryota; Viridiplantae; Streptophyta; Magnoliopsida; Fabales; Fabaceae
Description: long non-coding RNA (GMAX_LNC003161)
Source: RNAcentral